GUGUCUUCUUUGUUUAAGUAAAUCCUUGGUCUGAGGCCUCCAGUUUUUGGCAGUUAAAAUCGCCAGUCACUUUUAGGCCAGUCGCAGGCCUUCGCAGGGCUCAGAAGAUAAGAAUGGUGGAGCAGUGCGCGUUGGGUGGCCGGCGUGGCCUGAUUUGUAUUCGAUUUGUUGGGUCGCACUCCGGAAAAACCUCGGCUCGGGGCCCUGCCUCUGAUGAAGCUUGUGUUGGUAGGGACAUCUGAGACUGUUGAUGAAUGCCAACGGCUCUGAUGGCGGUGCUUGCCGAGUUGCCGAGCGGGUUUCUGUUAAUGCCUUCUGCUCUUGCCUCUUCCCGUCUCUGAGUAAGGCCACGUGAGCCUCUAAAUGGCUGCAUUCCCCAAUGCAGCAUUAGUGCCCUCAGAAUGCUCCUGUGAAAUUUUGAGUGGUGUAGUAAACGACCUGCAAACAUGAUGGGGAGAUGACAAUGAUUAGAUGUGGGGAAAAAACGAAUUUUGGGAGUUCUUUGAUGGCCUAGCAGGUUGAGGCUCCUGCAUUCUCCGCUGUGGUUCUGGCUGUGCCGCGUAGAUUCGAUCCCCGGACCAGGAAUGCCCAGACACUAUACUGCAUGUGUGGCAAAAAAGAAAAUACAAAAGAAAAAAAUGGAAUUUUGAAAAUCCCUAAUCUUUUCUAGGAAUGGUGCUAGGGAUGAAUGCAAUGUGGCUUUUGAUGGCUUCUGAUGGGCAGCUAAGUGCCAAAGAUAUGAGAAUCGCUGCUGGGGUUGUAAAGCGCAAGCUUAACACUGUAUUUGUGGGCAAAAAGGUGCUAGGCAGAGUUAGCUGAAAGGUGAAGAGGUGAACUUGUCUGACAUGUCUGGACCAGCCUUUUUAGUGGGUACCUGGUAUUAUCUGUGGAUGGCUUGUAUGGGUGGGAGUAUUGAAGCUAUUUUGAAAUGUGUCUGAAGAAAUUUUUUUCAGGUGCAGAUUUUGAGGACCUUUUGUAUAAAGGUGUGAAGAGGCCUUGGCUACAAAGGCAUUGGAACAUGCCUUAAAAGGCAGAUCUUCUGUUACCCUGAAGAUUUCAAAGGCAUUUAUGAGCAGCAGUCAACGCAACUUAACCAAUUGACAGGUAGCUGGAUGGAUGCUUGUGGGAUGGAUAGAAGAAAAGUAAACAACUUUGUAUUUAAUAAAUGUUUUUUACUUAAAAGCCA
Molecule: long non-coding RNA, 1186 nt
Organism: Phacochoerus africanus (Common warthog)
Lineage: Eukaryota; Metazoa; Chordata; Mammalia; Artiodactyla; Suidae
Exons: 11
Source: RefSeq, a predicted model, not a curated record